RNAcentral lists this ribosomal RNA (377 nucleotides) under uncultured eukaryote. RNAcentral describes it as "partial 18S ribosomal RNA". It matches the Rfam family "Eukaryotic small subunit ribosomal RNA", at positions 592 to 976 of the family's 1831-position model. The record is from RNAcentral.
CAAUAGCGUAUAUUUAAGUUGCUGCAGUUAAAAAGCUCGUAGUUGGAUUUCGGGUGGGAAUGGCCGGUCCGCCGUUUCGGUGUGCACUUGCUACGCCCACCUUGCUGCCGGGGACGUGCUCUUGAGUUCACGCUCGGGACACGGAGUCGGCGAGGUUACUUUGAGUAAAUUAGAGUGUUCAAAGCAGGCCUACGCUCUGAAUACAUUAGCAUGGAAUAACACGAUAGGACUCUGGCCUAUCUUGUUGGUCUGUAGGACCGGAGUAAUGAUUAAGAGGGACAGUCGGGGGCAUUCGUAUUUCAUUGUCAGAGGUGAAAUUCUUGGAUUUAUGAAAGACGAACUACUGCGAAAGCAUUUGCCAGGGAUGUUUUCAUUAA